This 253-nucleotide ribosomal RNA is filed under the name uncultured bacterium. RNAcentral describes it as "partial 16S ribosomal RNA". It matches the Rfam family "Bacterial small subunit ribosomal RNA", at positions 524 to 776 of the family's 1533-position model. The record is from RNAcentral.
UACGUAGGGUGCAAGCGUUGUCCGGAAUUAUUGGGCGUAAAGAGCUCGUAGGCGGUUUGUUGCGUCGGCUGUGAAAUCCCGAGACUCAACCUCGGGUCUGCAGUCGAUACGAGCAAACUAGAGUGUUGCAGGGGAGACUGGAAUUCCUGGUGUAGCGGUGAAAUGCGCAGAUAUCAGGAGGAACACCGGUGGCGAAGGCGGGUCUCUGGGCAACAACUGACGCUGAGGCACGAAAGCGUGGGGAGCAAACAGG